Molecule: ribosomal RNA, 176 nt
Filed under: uncultured Leucobacter sp.
Lineage: Bacteria; Bacillati; Actinomycetota; Actinomycetes; Micrococcales; Microbacteriaceae
Description: partial 16S ribosomal RNA
Rfam family: Bacterial small subunit ribosomal RNA
Source: RNAcentral
CCUACGGGAGGCAGCAGUGGGGAAUAUUGCACAAUGGGCGCAAGCCUGAUGCAGCAACGCCGCGUGGGGGAUGACGGCCUUCGGGUUGUAAACCUCUUUUGUCAGGGAAGAAGCCUUUGGGUGACGGUACCUGGAGAAAAAGCACCGGCUAACUACGUGCCAGCAGCCGCGGUAAU